This 107-nucleotide small nucleolar RNA is filed under the name Eutrema salsugineum. RNAcentral's name for it is "Plant small nucleolar RNA R71". It matches the Rfam family "Plant small nucleolar RNA R71". From Rfam's summary of the family: R71 is a member of the C/D box family of snoRNAs containing the C (UGAUGA) and D (CUGA) box motifs. Lineage: Eukaryota; Viridiplantae; Streptophyta; Magnoliopsida; Brassicales; Brassicaceae. The record is from Rfam by way of RNAcentral.
AACCCAUGGUGUGGGCAUUGGUUGGUGUAGCUCCUGAAUCUCUCAUAUGCUUCACCAAAACUCUCAUUGCUGUGCUAAGUGAAGUUAGAGAUUUGGUUUCUUAGCUU